AUGAAUCCCACAGCUCAUGAUCAGACAACACAGCAACAAAAACCAAAUGGCCGAAGAGCAGUUGGUAGCUCGCAAACCUGGACACGGUAUGGUGUUCUGCUACCAAGCCAGCAGACACGGAAGCAAAAAGAAUGGAUUCUAACUGAUGAACAACAACAAGUAGUCAAUGCUAGUGGUCUUGGACAUCUUGCUCUUACGACAGGAUUUACCAUUGACCGUUCCUUGCUUACAGCCUUCUGUGAGAGAUGGAACAACGAAACAAAUACUGCACAUUUCAUGGGAUUUGAAAUGGCACCGUCUCUCCGUGAUGUAUCAUAUAUUCUAGGAAUCCCAGUGACUGGUCAUGUGGUGACGGCAGAACCCAUCGGUGAUGAAGCUGUGAAUCGCAUGUGCUUGCAUUACUUAGGAGAGAGCCCUGGAAGCGGAGAGCAACUAUGUGGAUUGAUCAGAUUAACCUGGUUGUACAGGAAAUUCCAUCAACUGCCAGAAAACCCCACCAUCAAUGACAUUGCAUUCAGCACCCGGGCGUACCUUCUAUAUUUGGUUGGCUCCACCUUAUUUCCCGACACAAUGAGGGGAUUUGUAUCCCCAAGAUACCUACCACUUUUGGGGGAUUUCAGGAAGAUACAUGAGUAUGCUUGGGGGGCUGCAGCCCUUGCUCAUUUGUACAGAGGAUUGUCUGUCGUAACACCAAAUGCUACUACCCAGUUUCUCGGCGGUGCAACUUUGCUCAUGGCUUGGAUUUAUGAGUAUAUUCCUUUGACUCAACCCCAACAAAAGAAUCAGAACACGUUGCUGCCCCGGGCAUGCCGAUGGAACUUUGGAGGAACAACACGUGGGCAGAGAAAGAAAGUUAUGGAAUGGAGAAAGGAUUUCGAGCAGCUUCAGUUGUCCGAUGUCAACUGGAAUCCUUACAAGGACAUAAAUCCAGCGAUUGUUCCAGGAUAUUGCAUCGCAGCAGAUAACAUUUGCCACUCUCGGACAUGGCUAAUCAGCUUUAACAUAAAAGAGGUGUAUGUACCUGACCGGUUCAAUAGGCAGUUUGGGAGGGAGCAAGGUCGCCUCUAUCAGGUGCCAAUGUGGGCAAGAAGAACUUGGAGUAAGGGGAAAGACUGGAGGGUUGAGUAUGCUCGUGAGAUUGAGGACUUCCAUCAAUUGGUUGGUUGUCGUUUUAUCCCUUCUACGGAAGCUAACAUAAACUCCCUCCCGAAUGAGUCUAUAGCUGGACAGAGUACUACCAGAUGCAGCCGGAAUGCAUCUCAAAACUUCUCUAUGAUGGUUGAAGAUUUAAAGAAUGAUCUCCCGGUAAUUGAUCGUUAUCUGGAGGGACAGGUGCUCCCCGUGGAGGUUGCAAGCUUCCUAGAGAGGGUGAGUACGAUGAUCAAAACUUACUUCCCACCGCAGAGCAAUGAAAGGAAAGACGAAGCAGCUCAGAGCAAGAAUGUCAGAGCAAAGAAUCCAAGAAAGAGGGUGAGAAAACCUUUGCUCUCUGAAGAUCCUUCAAGCCCUCAGGAUUCUGUGGUAGACCGGUAUGCAGGUGCGCUGGUGCCUUAUCAGGCUAGCAAGUGUGACAGGGUGUUGGAUGGCACCGUGCCUCUGCUAAACAGAGGGGAAGCGUUGAAGGAAAACGAGGUGAUGGAUCCCUGGCAAAUGUCGCAUUUGACAGCAGAGUCGUCUUCCUCUGGAGACUCGAGCUUGCCGGAAUCAAGGAGGCGGGGGUGUGAGGAAUCCGGAACCCCGAGGAGCAACCAGGGGGUCCGAAGGAGUGGAAGGAUGUGCGUGCAGCUCAAGAUGUUCAAGCACAGGGACGGGGUUGGGGCCGAGGAGACCAACCGGAUCUUCCUCUGA
Molecule: ribosomal RNA, 1848 nt
Filed under: Triticum aestivum (bread wheat)
Lineage: Eukaryota; Viridiplantae; Streptophyta; Magnoliopsida; Poales; Poaceae
Description: partial small subunit ribosomal RNA
Source: RNAcentral